GCGGCCUAUCAGCUUGUUGGUGGGGUGAUGGCCUACCAAGGCGACGACGGGUAGCCGGCNUGAGAGGGCGACCGGCCACACUGGGACUGAGACACGGCCCAGACUCNUACGGGAGGCAGCAGUGGGGAAUAUUGCGCAAUGGGCGGAAGCCUGACGCAGCGACGCCGCGUGAGGGAUGACGGCCUUCGGGUUGUAAACCUCUUUCAGCUCUGACGAAGCGAGAGUGACGGUAGGAGCAGAAGAAGCACCGGCCAACUACGUGCCAGCAGCCGCGGUAAUACGUAGGGUGCAAGCGUUGUCCGGAAUUAUUGGGCGUAAAGAGCUCGUAGGCGGUUUGUCGCGUCGAAUGUGAAAACCCGGGGCUCAACCCCGGGCCUGCAUUCGAUACGGGCAGACUAGAGUCCGGUAGGGGAGACUGGAAUUCCU
This 426-nucleotide ribosomal RNA is filed under the name uncultured Actinomycetes bacterium. RNAcentral's name for it is "bacterial SSU rRNA". It matches the Rfam family "Bacterial small subunit ribosomal RNA", at positions 233 to 671 of the family's 1533-position model. The record is from RNAcentral. Lineage: Bacteria; Bacillati; Actinomycetota; Actinomycetes.